AAUAACCUACGGGACGCAGCAGUGGGGAAUAUUGGGCAAUGGGCGCAAGCCUGACCCAGCAACGCCGCGUGAAGGAAGAAGGCUUUCGGGUUGUAAACUUCCUUUCUCAGGGACGAAGCAAGUGACGGUACCUGAGGAAUAAGCCACGGCUAACUACGUGCCAGCAGCCGCGGUAAUACGUAGGUGGCAAGCGUUAUCCGGAUUUACUGGGUGUAAAGGGCGUGUAGGCGGGAAAGCAAGUCAGAUGUGAAAACCAUGGGCUCAACCUGGGGCCUGCAUUUUAAACUGUUUUUUUU
RNAcentral lists this ribosomal RNA (296 nucleotides) under uncultured bacterium. RNAcentral describes it as "partial 16S ribosomal RNA". It matches the Rfam family "Bacterial small subunit ribosomal RNA", at positions 333 to 643 of the family's 1533-position model. The record is from RNAcentral.